AGGACCAACAGGACCUUUCAGGAAAGCUAUCCCUGCUUACACAGAGAAUUGCCCUUGCCUAACACUGAAGCCUGGCAGAGUAACAUGAAAUAACCACAGCAAUUCUAAAAUUAGAAUUAGCAUGCCUAGAAUAACAGGUGCUGUUGUAGGAGCAAGGGAUACAAUGAUGAUCAAGGCAGAUGCAGCCGUUACCUUCAGGUUGUGGAGUCCGGAUACAGACUGGAGGCAGGCAGCUGUAAGAUGUGUGAGAAAUGCUGCGCUGGAUCAGCCCAUGGUAUUAGGAGAGCAGAGACCGAGAGGUUGAUGUCACUCCCAAUAUCGGAGGAAGUAUACACCCCCGUGUGAGAUGGUCCUUAAUAAUAUUCCACGGCGGAGGGGGUGAUAUGACUACAUACAUGGCAGAAAGUGGAAACCUCCCAGGGAUAUUGUUCCCACGAUCCUGGAGGGAAGAAGAUGAUGUUACUUUCAAUAUGACAGAAGGUGGAUGAAGUGGUGGACUGCCCCUCCACACCUGUGGACACGCCCCCACUGAUAUUCCUUCUAAUUGCAGCGUGGGAGAGGAGGAUAUGACACGCGAUAUCGCAGGGAGUAGAAACACCCCUGUGAUACUGUUCUUAAUAUUCAGGGAGGAAGAGGAUGAUAUUACUCCCAAUACAGACGGGUGUACACCCUCUGUACACCGAGGGUGUACACCUGUCUGUGAAAGAGUUCGUAAUCUCCAGAGGGGGAGAUGAUAUUACUCACAAUAUGGUAAAGAGGCUGUGAGUCCACGGAGGAUCCUCAGAGCCAGCGGGGGAAGAGGGGCUGGCUCUCAGUCCCCGCCUCGCGGGGGUGACUCCCCCCAGUGCGAUGGGGGUCCUAAGAGCCAGUGGGGGAAGAGGGGCUGGCUCUGAGACCCCGCCUCGCGGGGGGUGCCUCCCCGCCCUGUGAUGGGGGUCCGAAGAGCCAGAAGGCUUAGAGGGGCUGGCUCUCAGUCCCCGCCUCGCGGGGGGUGCCUCCUCCCCCUGCGAUGGGGGUCGUAAGAGCCACUGGGGGAAUAGGGGCUUGCUCUCAGUCACCGCCUCGCGGGGGGUGCCUCCUUUCCUUUCUACAUAGACACAGUGACAGUCUGAUCUCUCUUUCUUUUCCCUACAGAUGGACACGCCCCCACUGAUAUUGUUUUUAAUGCAGCGUGGGAGGGGAGGAUAUGACACGCGAUAUCGCAGCUGAGUGCCACGUGCUGACGUCACUAAGAUCAAUACAGCAAACUCUGAAAGAUGGACAGAGAGACAGGAGAUGGUCCUUUAUAAUGCAGUGUGAUCUGUGCUGCAAUAGAGUUUUGGAAGCUAGAAGUUCAAAACGAGGUGUUGGCAGCACCAUGCUCUCUCUGAAGAUGCUAGGAAGAAUCUGCUCCAUGCCUUUCCAUUCGCUUCUGGGGUUUCCUGCAAGCCCUGACAUUCCUUGGCUUGUAGAUGCAUCACCCCAGUUUCCGCCCCCAUCAUCACAUGGCCUCCUCUCUGUGUGUGCCUCUGCGUUCCCUCUAUUCUUCUUCUAAGGACACCGACACCAGUCAUAGUGGAUUAAGUGUCC
Homo sapiens (human) is the source of this 1569-nucleotide long non-coding RNA. Ensembl annotates it as long intergenic non-protein coding RNA 3025. The record is from Ensembl. NCBI's taxonomy places the organism in Eukaryota, Metazoa, Chordata, Mammalia, Primates, Hominidae.